AUGCAAAGUCAAGAGAAGAUAACACCUGUGAAGCCUGUAGCCUCCAGGCCUUUCUCCAGUUUCACUUCCUUCUCGAAGCUAUUGAAAGACUUCACUGUGACUGGUUCUGCAACAAUCUCCUCUCCAGGAGAGACUGUUAUAGUUAGGCGGCCAAAGGUAACACGUUUCGCACCGCCACCAAGUGAUCUAUCUGCAGGAAUUGCUGCAACCAUGUUACAGGAUGCUGGUUUAGAUACCACACAUGAAAAAAUGGUCAUCGAUCCAGAACAAGUAGUCUCCUGUGACCAGAUGACGGCAUUCCACGAUAUCAACAAGCCAAUUCAUGGUGUGAAAAACCGUCUGUCCUAUGAUGGCUACAAUUGGAGGAAGUAUGGGCAGAAGCAAGUGAAAGGGAGCGAGUUCCCGCGGAGCUACUACAAGUGCACUCACCCAACCUGCCCUGUCAAGAGGAAAGUGGAGACAACCGUAGAUGGCCAAAUUGCGGAAAUUGUGUACAACGGUGAACACAACCAUCCCCAGCCCCAUCCACCAAAAAAGCCAGCGUCAUUGGCAAGUACAGAAGUUGUGGUCCCUGACGCCCAUGGCAGCAAUGAUGCUGGAGCAGAAAGCCAGCUAGGAGGGUGCAACCUCGCUCUUGUUUCAGAUCCUGUUGCCGCGGCAUUCAAAAGCAGCUGUGAUUACGUCGACGAAAUUGGAAGCACUAGUCCGGUCUAUCACUGCAACACAAGCCAAAAGGAGAAGCAAACAAGCAUCACAAAUGGCCUGACUUCUGGUGAGGCUGCUCCUGCAUUCCAGUCUCCAACAGAAUGCAGGUCGUCUGGGGAUGCAGCAUUCCGUUGGCGCAAGUAUGGUCAGAAGGCUGUUAAUGGUAAUUCAUUUCCAAGGAGCUACUACAGAUGCAGCACAGCAAGAUGCAACGCACGCAAGUUUGUGGAGCGUUCAUCGGACAAUUCGCUGGUAACCACAUAUGAGGGAAAGCACAACCAUGUGCAACUUCGAUGA
This 1002-nucleotide ribosomal RNA is filed under the name Triticum aestivum (bread wheat). RNAcentral's name for it is "partial small subunit ribosomal RNA". The record is from RNAcentral. Lineage: Eukaryota; Viridiplantae; Streptophyta; Magnoliopsida; Poales; Poaceae.